This is a long non-coding RNA of Mugil cephalus (flathead mullet), 1472 nucleotides long. RefSeq lists it as uncharacterized. NCBI's taxonomy places the organism in Eukaryota, Metazoa, Chordata, Actinopteri, Mugiliformes, Mugilidae. The record is from RefSeq and is a predicted model, not a curated record. The transcript has 6 exons.
UCCUCAGAGUCUGUGGCAAAGCGUCCCAAACAUUCUCCGAGACCGCAGGCUGGACAGAUUAGCUUAGCCCGCUAAGUCGGAGAAAGGGGAAGCAAAUGGUGAGGUAACGAUGAUGCGAAAUGAAUCGUUGCUGCGUUCCAGUCGGAGGCGAGUAGGCAACCGUGCCCCGCCACCCCACCCUUCCACAAACACACCCCUGUUGGGAUAUUGGCAAGUUGUCAUGACGACAGGGAUGUUCUGCUGAUGAAGUCUCGCUCAGCGCCGUCCAAUCAGAUCGUGGAGCUACAACCGCAGCGUGAACAGGGGAGGACGCACCUUUUCCAGUUGCACAAUGCUGAGAAAGGACAGGCGAAACCCUGGACCACCAACGGGAAAUUGGCAAUCCUGAGGAGGCUGUCAAUGGGCCGCCAUGGUUCGACAAUACACAAACAGCGGGGGUCGUGGAUACAGGGGCUGCCAGGGUACGGAGAGAGGCUUUCGGCGGCCAGCCAUGGGAAAGAGCUGUCAACAGGGUGGCUCAGCUGGCAGCGCCCAGGUUUCCCAUGAGGCCAAGAGCUGCCUAAAGUGGAGAUUCAAGGAUGCUGAAGGAUGAAAAGGAGGAGCUGGAGAAGUGACCUGGGCUGGCUGAAUGGACUCCAGUCAACAAGAUGAAUAGUUGGCCCGGGAUCAAAGGCAGACCCCAACCGGCCACUCUGACCACCACAAAGGGGCGUUGGGCGCUGGCGCGGGGCCAGGUGCUACACAUGGCCACAUAGCCAGGGACAAGCCGUGCAGAUGGGGCCUGCAGAGCCCUCGCCGCCUCCGCCCCCACUGCUGUACGCGAGAGAAGACGGAUCUGAGAGAGAGCGACUGCCCGUGCAACGGGAACAGGACCGGCCGAGGUCUACCAAUAAUGGAAUUGGAGCGGAAGAAGAAUUUUCCAGGAAGUCCAUUAUCUCAGCGGCAAGGACAAAGAAAUGGAAUUAAAACACCUGAAACAAGGCGCCGGUGACGGCUCUGAUGCCUCCCGUUUGAUUGGCUCUUUCAUGUUCUCCUCCCGCCCUCGGUGUGAGCGGCGGCGCCGGGGUGGAGGUGAAGCGGUGGCGAGCGGACCACCGCGCGGUGCAGGGAGAUUGAGAUGUGAUGCGCUCCUGCCGAGGUGAUGGACGGAGGCACUGGAAGGAUGUUGGAUUUCAGGCGCUUCGGGCUUUCUCCUACGUAGCGGUGAGCUGUGGAAGGCUCCAGUAGUACAACUAUGUCAAGUGCAAUCAGCAUCUAGUCAGGAGUGAUAAUGCUUGUGCUAGAAACAACUUAGCCCGCUGUGCGUAAUAUUAGUAGUACUUACUAGUUUUCCUGUUCUUUUAGAUAUCAGGUUUCUGCUGAAAGCCUGUAAUAAUGAGAUGACCUUUCGCAGGCUGUUGUUAUGCACAUAAACACAUUCAGUACGUUUACACGCACAUGAAAAAAACUAAUUAUUGUCUUAAUCUGACUUU